GGCACGAUAAGCCCGAGCUGCUGCAGCGAGCGCUGCGCAGAGCGGAGAGGCUGCUGGAGAUGCAUGACGUCUGCUUCUGAGUAGCGGUUAGCGACGCGAUGGAGCGAGCAAGGGAUCGCUUACACCUGAGACGAACUACAGAACAGCACGUGCCAGAGGUGGAAGUCCAAGUCAAAAGAAGGAGGACAGCCUCACUGAGCAACCAAGAGUGUCAGUUAUACCCAAGGCGUUCUCAGCAGCAACAGAUUCCUGUGGUGGAUUUCCAAGCGGAACUGAGACAGGCCUUCUUAGCUGAGACACCAAGAGGUGGUUAAAGCAUUAUUGGAACAUCAAGGUAGCUGAUUUCAGGAAUAAAACCAGGAUCCACCCACUGUUUGUGAAGCUUCUGCCCAGCUUGCAUUGUUUCUAGGAGAACCUGCAUCAUACCUUUAUAUAUAGCCUUCCCCUAGGUAUUAAGGAUCCUGAAAUCUUAACUGUCAACACCGGAUUUUGUGGAACAGCAAUCAUGACUGUGGGCAAGAGUAGCAAGAUGCUGCAGCACAUCGACUAUAGAAUGAGAUGUAUCCUGCAAGAUGGCCGUAUCUUCAUUGGCACCUUUAAGGCUUUUGACAAGCAUAUGAAUUUGAUUCUCUGUGAUUGUGAUGAGUUCAGGAAGAUCAAGCCAAAGAAUGCAAAACAGCCAGAGCGUGAAGAAAAACGGGUUUUGGGUCUUGUGUUGCUGCGUGGGGAGAACUUAGUAUCCAUGACUGUGGAGGGGCCACCUCCUAAAGACACUGGCAUUGCUCGGGUACCACUUGCUGGAGCUGCAGGAGGUCCAGGGGUUGGGAGGGCAGCAGGCAGAGGAGUACCAGCAGGUGUACCAAUUCCCCAGGCUCCUGCUGGAUUAGCAGGCCCUGUCAGAGGAGUUGGAGGUCCAUCCCAGCAGGUAAUGACUCCACAGGGAAGAGGCACUGUAGCAGCUGCUGCUGUUGCUGCUACUGCCAGCAUUGCUGGAGCCCCAACCCAAUACCCACCAGGACGGGGGACUCCACCCCCACCUGUAGGUAGAGCAACCCCACCUCCAGGCAUUAUGGCUCCUCCACCUGGUAUGAGACCACCAAUGGGCCCACCAAUUGGACUUCCUCCUGCUCGAGGGACACCAAUAGGCAUGCCCCCUCCAGGAAUGAGACCCCCUCCACCAGGUAUUAGAGGUCCACCUCCCCCAGGAAUGCGUCCACCAAGACCCUAGGAUACUGUUGAUCUGUAUCAGUCACAUUUUGCCCUGCAAUGCAUCUUGUGAAUUUGUGUAGACUGUUUGUGAGCUUUUUGUCCCCUCUUUCUGCAUUAAUGAUAGCUAAUAAUAAAUGCAUUGAGCAAUUAAA
Molecule: non-coding RNA, 1361 nt
Organism: Castor canadensis (American beaver)
Lineage: Eukaryota; Metazoa; Chordata; Mammalia; Rodentia; Castoridae
Source: RefSeq, a predicted model, not a curated record